UCCCUGGUGGCUCAGUGGUAAAGAAUCUGCCUGCAAUGCAGAAAACUCGGGUUCAGUCCCUGGGUCGGGAA
RNAcentral lists this transfer RNA (71 nucleotides) under Ovis aries (sheep). It matches the Rfam family "tRNA". Rfam says of the family: Transfer RNA (tRNA) molecules are approximately 80 nucleotides in length. The record is from Rfam by way of RNAcentral. Lineage: Eukaryota; Metazoa; Chordata; Mammalia; Artiodactyla; Bovidae.